Molecule: long non-coding RNA, 640 nt
Organism: Nicotiana tabacum (common tobacco)
Lineage: Eukaryota; Viridiplantae; Streptophyta; Magnoliopsida; Solanales; Solanaceae
Source: RefSeq, a predicted model, not a curated record
ACUGAACAUUUCCUGGACUUUUUUGGUUGAAAUUUGCUUUGGUUCUGCUUUUGAUCUUCAUAGUUAGUCAGAAUUUUCCAAAAGUUCAAAUAAUUUCUGAUGUCUGGGUUACAAAUGGCCUAAGAGAGGUACAUCUUUGGACUUUAUUGAUGUGAAGCUUGAAUCUGAAGCAUGUCGGAGAUGUAAACCUUAGUUAUUGAAUAUCAAGUUGUGUUAUUGAAAACUUAUCCUUGUUCUACAUUAAAUUGUGUUCUAUUGCUUGAUUCAUUGUAUUUAUUCAUGCCAUGGACAUUACAAUUUGUAUUGGGGUUGUAUUUGGACUUUCAUGUGUUAUUUUGGUUCCAGCCUAGUUUAAACUAUUUCUACCGAGUCCUUGGAUGUUUGUACUGUCAUAGUAUAGAUUCAAUUUGGAUAAGUAACACUAAUUUUGGAUUUUGAUUAGUUCAAUCUCAGUGAUGUUAAGUUCCCAGUUAACCUCCAUCAAUGAUUUUGUUGUUUAGAAUUUCAGUUUUGUUUUUUUUUUUUAAUUUGAAUGAACUCAAGGGCUAUUGGGUCACUGUAUAUUUAAUGUCAAGAGUAUCCAUCAUUAAAUUUACUAUGUAAGAACUCAACAGCAAAUGACAGUAAUUUCAAUGUUCAA